This 721-nucleotide long non-coding RNA is filed under the name Equus caballus (horse). Its description in RNAcentral is "lncRNA (ENSECAG00000046036.1)". The record is from RNAcentral. Lineage: Eukaryota; Metazoa; Chordata; Mammalia; Perissodactyla; Equidae.
UGGGUCCACGUGGACUCUGAAGGACAGCGCUGGUUCUGCGACAGAUAAUGAAGGAAUCUGAAGAAGUGGGGGCCGGCGGAAGGGACACCCCGGAGUUCCCGGAAGUGGGAGGAAAUGACCCCGGAGCUCCGGGAAGUAGGAGGAAAUGAGAGGAGUUGAAGAUGUUAACCUGGAGGGGAAGGAGUCAGGCUAGAGGGAGCUCCGGAGAAGGUGUCCCGAGAGCAUCUGCAGAGGCCUCUGAAUCGCCCUCGCUCCGUGGAAAGCUUGUGUUCUGGGCCAAGAUGGGAUGUCUGGGACUGGGAUUCAGGACCAGGCCCUGCAAGGCCCUGCUGUGCAGUGCCCAGCACCGCCCGGUCCACGGAAGACCUUCAAUAAAGCUGUUGAGAAGCUUCAAGAACUAAUGGACAGACUAGAGAAGCGGGUUUGGAAAACAGAAGGACUCACUCAUGUGCAAAGAUAACACAAAAAGAUGUCCAUUGAAGCUUUGAUUGUGAUAGAAAACAAAGUGGGAAUGCUGAAAUGUCCAUCAAUCGGGUCAAACACAUUACAGCGCAUCUCUACAAGGUAACACAAUGCAGCAAUGAGCAACAAUGCUACCGAUUACCGCAAACCAACGUGGCAAGAUGCCCCAAAUAUACUGUUGAGAGAAAAAAUCAAAUUGCAAAAGAGCAUUAUAGCUUUAUUUCACAAAUAGAUAAUUCAAUAAAUAUUUGUCUACUAU